RNAcentral lists this ribosomal RNA (484 nucleotides) under uncultured bacterium. RNAcentral describes it as "partial 16S ribosomal RNA". It matches the Rfam family "Bacterial small subunit ribosomal RNA", at positions 28 to 507 of the family's 1533-position model. The record is from RNAcentral.
AUUGAACGCUGGCGGCAUGCUUUACACAUGCAAGUCGAACGGCAGCGCGGGCUUCGGCCUGGCGGCGAGUGGCGAACGGGUGAGUAAUGCAUCGGAACGUGCCCAGUAGUGGGGGAUAGCCCAGCGAAAGCCGGAUUAAUACCGCAUACGACCUGAGGGUGAAAGCGGGGGACCGAAGGGCCUCGCGCUAUUGGAGCGGCCGAUGUCGGAUUAGCUAGUUGGUGGGGUAAAGGCUUACCAAGGCGACGAUCCGUAGCUGGUCUGAGAGGACGACCAGCCACACUGGGACUGAGACACGGCCCAGACUCCUACGGGAGGCAGCAGUGGGGAAUUUUGGACAAUGGGGGCAACCCUGAUCCAGCCAUGCCGCGUGCGGGAAGAAGGCCUUCGGGUUGUAAACCGCUUUUGUUCGGGAAGAAAUCCUCUGGGCUAAUACCCCGGGGGGAUGACGGUACCGGAAGAAUAAGCACCGGCUAACUACGUG